AGGAAGGUAUGGCUCUACUUGUCUACGUUCAUAUAUUAAAGAGCUGUUUAAUGUCAACUGGUUAGUGGCAAGAAAAGAUCUUCUCUAAUCAUUCCACCUGUGUAAAAUUAAUUGUCUAUGCUUGCAUCUGAAAGAGGAAACAAUGGCUGCAUCUUUUUAAUUUUGUAGAAUAUACCAGUACUAUGGAAUAGUGUGUCACAUUGCAUAUUUUAGCCAUAAUACCGAGAAAAAAACAGACAGAGACACCCCACCCACCAAAGGUAUUGUUUGUGUUAUAAUAUACUAAGAUAUGGAAUCUCCGCACUCGAUAACCCACAACAUGGGCGGUUUAUUGUAAUUACUUCUGCCUUGGUUCGUCCAAUCACUACUCUCCUUACGUAGCACAGAGGCCAUUAGGCAUUCCGUGGUCGCUUGAUCUUGGUCGUUGCUUUGAACAGUCUCCACGUGAAGAACCCUCCAAGUAAAUUCUGCUCGAAAAAACUAAAGCUCAUUAAAAGAUCUGCGUGAUGGCUGGCCAUGCCUGUUAUUCGUUUGAUAGCGUAACUGGUACCGCCCCAGACACUCAGACUGUAAAAUGGUCAGAUAUGAAAACUGGUUCAGAUCCCGAUGCAUACAUAGAAGGGACCAAUCUCAUUGGGGAAAUUGUAAUUAAUGGAAGCAAGAAAUAUUACCGACUUGACUUGAGUAGACAGCUUGAGCAAGGUCAUCAACCGAGCGUAACACUAAAUAAAAGAAAUCAUACCAUAACUCUUACUUAUGGAUCUUGGUGCGUGCUUUUUUAAUUGUCAUCAAACAUAUUCCGUUUGAAACUGCUGAAGAUGAAGAACAAGAUAUAUUAUCUACCUUGAAGGAAGACACACAAAAAUAUAAAAAUAUAUACACACAUUUUCUUUUUGUUCCUCUAUAGUGAAUCUUGUAUGCAUGAAGUGGAUUUGAUCCACCAUAGCCAAAUUUGAAUCAACACUGCUACAGUGUUUUCUAUACUUGAUCCUUUCUAACCUCUUCUACUUCACGAAAAGCUAGAAUGGAGACAACAAGACCACUAACUAAAUCUAUUGUUCUCAAUGAUAUAUCUAUCCUUCUGGAUCUUAAUAUAAGCAAGCACAUUCCAAGCAAAAAUCAGUCAGUCACAUCGUUACUCAACCAAGCAGCUUCCCGUAAUAACAAGCUGCUAAACAAAGAUUCUUCACCCAAGAGUUCCAACACUAUUCUUACCAAUUCCAACCAAACAUACAAUAAUAAUAAUAGAAAUAGUAUUGAUAGUAGCAACAUUCGUAACAGCAUUAGUAUUAGCAAUGAUAAUAUUAAUAAUAGCAUUAGUCAGGUUAAUAACAGUGGUAGUGUUGAUGAUAACAACAACAACAUUUCUGUUGUCAGGGAUAUUGCCGGUUAUAGUACAUUUAAUAAUAAUAACAAUAAUAGAAAUAGUGUAGUGGUUAAUGCUAGCAGUAAUAUUAACAGCAAUCAUAACAAUAAAAACUCCAUCUUAAUCUCGGAGGAAAACCCUAACAGAUUAAAGUUCUUGUCCAGUAAUUCCAAAAUUAAAAAUUCCAUUUACCAGUGUAAAAUUUCUUCUGGUACUGAUGUCUUCUUCUAUAUUGGUGCGACAACUUCUUGAUUAUCCCAGAGAAUUUCCAAUCAUUAUUCAACUUUCCGAGAUAAGAGAAAACAACAAAGUACAGGACUAAGUAAAUUGGUUUGGCGUCCUAAGGACAGCAAUAUAACUUUCAAGCUGGAUUGGUCCAUAUUGUCUGUAUCCUUUCCUUUUGAUAAGGGCAGGAAAUAUUGUGGCAUUUGUAAUUCCGAACUCUUCUAUAUCCUUUUCGCCAAGUUCCCCUUGGUAAACACAAUAAUAGAAAAAUCCUAUAAGUGCAAGCAUUGGCAGAAGCACACUUUCCACUAAUAUGAAUGAUGAUUAAUAUAGAUAACCUCUUUGAUUUUAAUAAUUAGUUUCACGUCUACACCACUGCCAUAGACAGAUGCUUUCUGUCUACUCCGUUCCAUGAAGCAUUACUACUAAAUAUCGUUGGCGUAUGUUUAUCUCUUUCUCUCUACCCCCCCUCUCUCUCUCUCUAUCAUACGCACAAUCAAACACACAGACACAAAUUUGUCACCUCACUACUAAAUAUAUUUGACAAUUGUCCCCCCCCCACACACACAAUUACGCACACACACACACAGAGACACAAAUGCGGUUAUAUACAUACACACACAUAAACACUCAAACUCAUUAACAAAAGCAUACACCCGUGCAUCCCCAUACAUUCAGCAUACAUAUUGUCCCCUUCCUAUUUUUAGAACUUUCUCCUUCCAACCAAUGUUGACAUCAUUGCUUAUAACGUAUUAUUUAAAAUAAAAAACACUCAUUAUCACUGUGGACACCAUGUGGGCAGUCAUCAAAAAGUCUUUGUUCGUCUUGAGGCUGAUAUAGGUUCCUUGUCUUUCCUGAUGAGAAGAUGGCAUAAUGCACCCUUUAUUCCUUCGGAAUUAAGAAUAUGCAGUCUUCGAAACAUGUGUCCAGAAUAAA
Molecule: unclassified non-coding RNA, 2527 nt
Filed under: Octopus sinensis (East Asian common octopus)
Lineage: Eukaryota; Metazoa; Mollusca; Cephalopoda; Octopoda; Octopodidae
Description: uncharacterized LOC115222236, transcript variant X1
Source: RNAcentral